Molecule: RNA transcript, 2359 nt
Organism: Musa acuminata AAA Group (dessert banana)
Lineage: Eukaryota; Viridiplantae; Streptophyta; Magnoliopsida; Zingiberales; Musaceae
Gene name: abscisic acid 8'-hydroxylase 3
Exons: 10
Source: RefSeq, a predicted model, not a curated record
CCCACUAGUCCUGCUUCCCUUUCCCUGCUCCGGCCAACGAAGGGAAACAAGGGUCGGCGGGAUGGGGAUGCAAUUUGGUAUUUUGUACGCCUUCCUUCUCUUGGUCCUUUCGACCUCUCUCUUCAUGAGAAGGCGAAAGACGAGACCCGAGGACAAGUAUAAAGUCCCACCUGGUUCCAUGGGGUGGCCUUACGUAGGAGAGACCCUUCAGCUCUACUCAGAAGACCCCAGUGUGUUCUUCGCCAACAGGCAGAAGAGGUACGGCGAGAUCUUUAAGACGCACGUCUUGGGUUGCCCCUGCGUGAUCCUGGCCAGCCCGGAGGCGGCCAGGUUCGUGCUGGUGACACAGGCUCAUCUGUUCAAGCCGACGUACCCGAGGAGCAAGGAGCGGUUGAUCGGCCCCUGGGCGCUCUUCUUCCACCAUGGCAGCUACCAUAUGCGGCUGAGGAAGCUUGUACAGGGCUUGUUGUCCCCGAAUGCGCUUCACGGGCUCGUCCCCGACAUCGAACGCAUAGUAAUCUCCAUGUUGGAAUCAUGGGUUGGUUUGGAAGCCAGAACCUUCCAUGCAAUGGAGAAGCUAUCUUUCGAUGUGGGUGUCCUUACGAUCUUUGGGGACCGGCUGGAGGAGCGGCACAAAGUAGAGCUGAAGAAGAAUUACUUAAUCGUUGACAAGGGCUACAAUUCUUUCCCCAUGUACCUUCCCGGCACUCCGUACCACAAAGCAAUCGUAGCAAGGAAACGUUUGCACGGUGUACUGAGUGAGAUCAUGAACGAGAGAAGGAAGAGAGGAGUGCGGGAGAAUGAUCUGUUGGGCUGUCUCAUCGACUCUAAGGAUGACAGCGGAGAGCACCUGAACGAUGACCAGAUCGCCGACAACAUCAUCGGCGUCUUAUUUGCCGCACAGCACACGACGGCCAGUGUCAUGACAUGGGUCCUAAAGUUCCUCCACGACGACCCAAAGCUUCUUGAAUCCGUCAGAGCCGAGCAAACGGCGAUACAGGAGGCGAACGAGUUUGGAAGUCGACCCUUGACGUGGGCCCAAACGAGAAGCAUGUCCCUGACUCACAAGGUCAUAUCGGAGAGCUUGAGGAUGGCAAGCGUCAUCUCUUUCACGUUCAGGGAGGCAGAGGCCGAUGUGGAGUACAAAGGAUACCUUAUCCCAAAGGGCUGGAAGGUGAUGCCUUUGUUCAGGAACAUACAUCACAAUCCGGACUUCUUUCAAGAACCCAACAUGUUCGACCCUUCUAGAUUCGAGGUUGCUCCCAAGCCCAAUACCUUCUUGCCAUUUGGGAACGGAGUUCACGCUUGCCCCGGCAAUGAAAUGGCCAAACUGGAAAUGCUUAUUUUGAUCCAUCAUCUGGUGACCAAAUACAGGUGGGAGACUCUGGGACACCAAGGUGAGAUCGAGUACUGCCCAUUCCAUGUGCCGAAGCAUGGCCUUCCUGCCAGGUUGUGGAGAGCCUCCGGCAGCUGCGAAGCAGGAGAAUGACGUUGCUCGCUGCAAGCAAUCCAGUUAGCUUAGCUUCUACAUUGGCCCUAAGUGCAAAUCCCGUCAAAGGAGAGGAUAACGAGUGUUGUAGCCAUGUGACACCAUUCUCGACACGUCGUCCCCACGUCGUAUGAGGUGUGUUUGUGAUCGCCAUGUGUCGCGGUUUGUGGUGCCGCAGGUCAACGUGGUCUUCCGUCAGCCGCCCUUGGAGAUCCGAGGGGUCACAGGUAUGGGGGAGGGGGGAAGGGUGCGGACGCUUUGAGGGACAGUACAUGACGUGCAUGACUCCGAGAUGUGUGGACAAUGGAAUAGUGACGGUGGGUCUGUCUCCGGUGGAGAGAUGGACCAACGUCCUGGAAACAGCACGUUCGGGCAACAGCAUCACCAGCCUCGUGUCACUUUUGGCUCAGCCCACCACCCUAUGCCUGAGAGAAGCCUCUGGAACGAGGCAAUCGUCGUCAGAAUCACACCACCGUCGGCGUCACUCGAGAAGGGGGUUCAUGAAGCCUAAGCAGGAGUUGCAACACAUAGUGCUUGCUUCGUACCACGAUGUGGUGGGAAGUCGCGUCUAUCACUGUUCCCUGUCAUAUCAAACGGGUAUGGAUUGAUAAAUUAGGGUUGAAUUGUGCUCGUGGGGCACUGGGAAUACAUCAUCCAGCUUGCCUUCAACAGGAUAAAAAAAUAUGUAUCCAAAGUCAUGCCUCAAAGAAGUUGUACAUCUUGCACACAAUCCUUCAUGUUCACAUCUCACGAGAAAAUCGAUGAGAUGUGUCAUGUUGUGCUGCUGCUGCAAGUCCAGUCCGACGUUAACUUUCUUGUAUCACUUUCAGGACUUUACAGACGAUAUCAACGAAAGCAGUAACAUCUAAA